Molecule: ribosomal RNA, 598 nt
Filed under: Actinomycetales bacterium HP24
Lineage: Bacteria; Bacillati; Actinomycetota; Actinomycetes; Actinomycetales
Description: bacterial SSU rRNA
Rfam family: Bacterial small subunit ribosomal RNA
Source: RNAcentral
AGUCGAGCGGAAGGCCCUUCGGGGUACUCGAGCGGCGAACGGGUGAGUAACACGUGAGUAACCUGCCCUAGGCUUUGGGAUAACCCCGGGAAACCGGGGCUAAUACCGGAUAUGACUGGCUGCCGCAUGGUGGUUGGUGGAAAGAUUUUUCGGCUUGGGAUGGACUCGCGGCCUAUCAGCUUGUUGGUGGGGUAAUGGCCUACCAAGGCGGCGACGGGUAGCCGGCCUGAGAGGGCGACCGGCCACACUGGGACUGAGACACGGCCCAGACUCCUACGGGAGGCAGCAGUGGGGAAUCUUGCACAAUGGGCGGAAGCCUGAUGCAGCGACGCCGCGUGAGGGAUGACGGCCUUCGGGUUGUAAACCUCUUUCAGCAGGGACGAAGCGUUUGUGACGGUACCUGCAGAAGAAGCGCCGGCCAACUACGUGCCAGCAGCCGCGGUAAGACGUAUGGCGCGAGCGUUGUCCGGAUUUAUUGGGGCGUAAAGAGCUCGUAAGCGGCUUGUCGCCGUCAACUGGGAAAACCCCGGGGGUCAACUGGGGGGCUUGGAGUCGAUAACGGGGAGGCUAAAAUUCGGUAGGGGGAAAACUGGGAAUU